UACGUAGGGUGCAAGCGUUAAUCGGAAUUACUGGGCGUAAAGCGUGCGCAGGCGGUUUUGUAAGUCUGUCGUGAAAUCCCCGGGCUCAACCUGGGAAUCGGCGAUGGAGACGUGCAAGGCUAGAGUUUGGCAGAGGGGGGUAGGAAUUCCACGUGUUAGCAGUGGGAAAAUGCGUAGGAUAUGUGGAGGAACACCGUAGUGGAGCGG
Molecule: ribosomal RNA, 207 nt
Filed under: uncultured bacterium
Lineage: Bacteria
Description: partial 16S ribosomal RNA
Rfam family: Bacterial small subunit ribosomal RNA
Source: RNAcentral